Molecule: long non-coding RNA, 551 nt
Organism: Gossypium raimondii (Peruvian cotton)
Lineage: Eukaryota; Viridiplantae; Streptophyta; Magnoliopsida; Malvales; Malvaceae
Exons: 3
Source: RefSeq, a predicted model, not a curated record
CCGUUCUAGCAACGUUGUACAAGGAGCUUUGUCGGGUGACAGAGCCGCAAGUUAAAGACAUCGGCGGAUGCCUGAUACUGCUGCAGUCAUGGGCCCUUUAUCGGAUGCCAUUUUUGGCACGUGUUAGUCACCAACCCUAUCUAUAUCCACUGCCACUCAGGUGGACGACCCGUCCAGGAAUCGGGAAGUAGAGUGAUGUCCCAAUAUACCGCAUGAGGAUUGAACAGCAUGCCCGGGAAGGGUUUAUAUGGAUGCCGUAUCGGAGGCCAGAAAUUGCAAAUGUUGUACCCUCGUCCGCACUCGUUGAUUCCCACACAUGGUGCACAAACACACCAAUUAUAAAUUUCAACAUCGUGGAGUGGUAUCACGGCGAUCGGGUGCUUCGGCAGUUCGGUUGCAUCCAACCUAUCCCGGAUCCACCGUGCCAGUUGGGGGAAGAUCACGGCUUGACAAAGAGAGGAAGGGUUCAAUUGGACUGGGGAAUAUAUCACCGGAAAUACAUCGCACUGUGGUACGAUCGAUUGAGCCGAAUUCCUCAGAUGGUUAUGGCU